UUGAAGAGUUUGAUCAUGGCUCAGAUUGAACGCUGGCGGCAGGCCUAACACAUGCAAGUCGAGCGGUAGCACAGAGAGCUUGCUCUCGGGUGACGAGCGGCGGACGGGUGAGUAAUGUCUGGGAAACUGCCUGAUGGAGGGGGAUAACUACUGGAAACGGUAGCUAAUACCGCAUAACGUCGCAAGACCAAAGUGGGGGACCUUCGGGCCUCAUGCCAUCAGAUGUGCCCAGAUGGGAUUAGCUAGUAGGUGGGGUAACGGCUCACCUAGGCGACGAUCCCUAGCUGGUCUGAGAGGAUGACCAGCCACACUGGAACUGAGACACGGUCCAGACUCCUACGGGAGGCAGCAGUGGGGAAUAUUGCACAAUGGGCGCAAGCCUGAUGCAGCCAUGCCGCGUGUGUGAAGAAGGCCUUCGGGUUGUAAAGCACUUUCAGCGGGGAGGAAGGCGAUAAGGUUAAUAACCUUGUCGAUUGACGUUACCCGCAGAAGAAGCACCGGCUAACUCCGUGCCAGCAGCCGCGGUAAUACGGAGGGUGCAAGCGUUAAUCGGAAUUACUGGGCGUAAAGCGCACGCAGGCGGUCUGUCAAGUCGGAUGUGAAAUCCCCGGGCUUAACCUGGGAACUGCAUUCGAAACUGGCAGGCUAGAGUCUUGUAGAGGGGGGUAGAAUUCCAGGUGUAGCGGUGAAAUGCGUAGAGAUCUGGAGGAAUACCGGUGGCGAAGGCGGCCCCCUGGACAAAGACUGACGCUCAGGUGCGAAAGCGUGGGGAGCAAACAGGAUUAGAUACCCUGGUAGUCCACGCCGUAAACGAUGUCGAUUUGGAGGUUGUGCCCUUGAGGCGUGGCUUCCGGAGCUAACGCGUUAAAUCGACCGCCUGGGGAGUACGGCCGCAAGGUUAAAACUCAAAUGAAUUGACGGGGGCCCGCACAAGCGGUGGAGCAUGUGGUUUAAUUCGAUGCAACGCGAAGAACCUUACCUGGUCUUGACAUCCACAGAACUUUCCAGAGAUGGAUUGGUGCCUUCGGGAACUGUGAGACAGGUGCUGCAUGGCUGUCGUCAGCUCGUGUUGUGAAAUGUUGGGUUAAGUCCCGCAACGAGCGCAACCCUUAUCCUUUGUUGCCAGCGGUUAGGCCGGGAACUCAAAGGAGACUGCCAGUGAUAAACUGGAGGAAGGUGGGGAUGACGUCAAGUCAUCAUGGCCCUUACGACCAGGGCUACACACGUGCUACAAUGGCAUAUACAAAGAGAAGCGACCUCGCGAGAGCAAGCGGACCUCAUAAAGUAUGUCGUAGUCCGGAUUGGAGUCUGCAACUCGACUCCAUGAAGUCGGAAUCGCUAGUAAUCGUAGAUCAGAAUGCUACGGUGAAUACGUUCCCGGGCCUUGUACACACCGCCCGUCACACCAUGGGAGUGGGUUGCAAAAGAAGUAGGUAGCUUAACCUUCGGGAGGGCGCUUACCACUUUGUGAUUCAUGACUGGGGUGAAGUCGUAACAAGGUAACCGUAGGGGAACCUGCGGUUGGAUCACCUCCUU
RNAcentral lists this ribosomal RNA (1536 nucleotides) under Klebsiella pneumoniae. RNAcentral describes it as "bacterial SSU rRNA". It matches the Rfam family "Bacterial small subunit ribosomal RNA". Lineage: Bacteria; Pseudomonadati; Pseudomonadota; Gammaproteobacteria; Enterobacterales; Enterobacteriaceae. The record is from RNAcentral.